RNAcentral lists this ribosomal RNA (610 nucleotides) under uncultured Bacteroidota bacterium. Its description in RNAcentral is "bacterial SSU rRNA". It matches the Rfam family "Bacterial small subunit ribosomal RNA", at positions 309 to 918 of the family's 1533-position model. Lineage: Bacteria; Pseudomonadati; Bacteroidota. The record is from RNAcentral.
CACACGGGUACUGAGACACGGACCCGACUCCUACGGGAGGCAGCAGUAAGGAAUAUUGGUCAAUGGGGGCAACCCUGAACCAGCCAUGCCGCGUGCAGGAUGACUGCCCUAUGGGUUGUAAACUGCUUUUAUACAGGAAGAACGGCGUUGAUUUAUCAGCGUGUGACGGUACUGUACGAAUAAGGACCGGCUAACUCCGUGCCAGCAGCCGCGGUAAUACGGAGGGUCCGAGCGUUAUCCGGAAUCACUGGGUUUAAAGGGUGCGUAGGCGGCGUACUAAGUCAGGGGUGAAAUGCCGGGGCUCAACCCCGGAACUGCCCUUGAAACUGGAACGCUUGAAACAGGUUGAGGUAGGCGGAAUGUGACAUGUAGCGGUGAAAUGCUUAGAUAUGUCAUGGAACACCGAUUGCGUAGGCAGCCUACUGGGCCUUGUUUGACGCUGAGGCACGAAAGCGUGGGGAGCGAACAGGAUUAGAUACCCUGGUAGUCCACGCCCUAAACGAUGCUGACUCGGUGUCUGGACCUUGAGUCUGGGCGCCCAAGGGAAACCGAUAAGUCAGCCACCUGGGGAGUACGUUCGCAAGAAUGAAACUCAAAUGAAUUGACGGGG